UGCGUAGGCGGCCUGACAAGUCAGAGGUGAAAGGCUACGGCUUAACCGUAGUAAGCCUUUGAAACUGUUAGGCUUGAGUGCAGGAGAGGAAAGUGGAAUUCCUAGUGUAGCGGUGAAAUGCGUAGAUAUUAGGAGGAACACCAGUGGCGAAGGCGACUUUCUGGACUGUAACUGACGCUGAGGCACGAAAGCGUGGGGAGCGAACA
Molecule: ribosomal RNA, 206 nt
Filed under: uncultured bacterium
Lineage: Bacteria
Description: partial 16S ribosomal RNA
Rfam family: Bacterial small subunit ribosomal RNA
Source: RNAcentral